UACAGAGGGUGCGAGCGUUAAUCGGAAUUACUGGGCGUAAAGCGCGCGUAGACGGUUUUGUAAGUCUGAUGUGAAAUCUAUGGGCUCAACCCAUAGUCUGCAUUAGAAACUGUCGGGCUUGAGUAUGGGAGAGGUGAGUGGAAUUUCCGGUGUAGCGGUGAAAUGCGUAGAUAUCGGAAGGAACACCUGUGGCGAAAGCGGCUCACUGGACCAUAACUGACGCUGAUGCACGAAAGCUAGGGGAGCAAACAG
Molecule: ribosomal RNA, 252 nt
Filed under: uncultured bacterium
Lineage: Bacteria
Description: partial 16S ribosomal RNA
Rfam family: Bacterial small subunit ribosomal RNA
Source: RNAcentral